UACGUAGGGGCGAGCGUUAUCCGGAAUUAUUGGGCGUAAAGAGUGCGUAGGUGGUUACCUAAGCGCAAGGUUUAAGCUUGAGGCUCAACCUCAUUUUGCCUUGCGAACUGGGCUACUUGAGUGCAGGAGGGGAAAGCGGAAUUCCUAGUGUAGCGGUGAAAUGCGUAGAUAUUAGGAAGAACACCAGUGGCGAAGGCGGCUUUCUGGACUGUAACUGACACUGAGGCACGAAAGCGUGGGGAGCAAACAGGAUUAGAUACCCCGGUAGUCCCUGAG
RNAcentral lists this ribosomal RNA (276 nucleotides) under uncultured prokaryote. RNAcentral describes it as "partial 16S ribosomal RNA". It matches the Rfam family "Bacterial small subunit ribosomal RNA", at positions 524 to 801 of the family's 1533-position model. The record is from RNAcentral.